AGAGUAAACAUUGUCACGAAGUGUAUGCUUGAAAUUUCAUCCAAACUUCCAAAAGUAGAUUUGACUGUCGGCGAGUCUUUGAGACGAUGAUUAAAGUACAUAUGUGAUCACGUUUUGCGCAUUUGCUACGUUUGAGACACGCUUCCCAUUUUUUUUUUCCAAAAAGGUACACGAGUAACUGAAAAAUCUUUUUGAUCAUCUUUGAUUCAAAAAUUAUCACGAGUUUCAUGUUGAAAACAAAACCAUCAAAUUUUUAUUCUCUUUUUUUUUUUUUUUUCCUUUAAGAUGGAAAGAAUUUCUUUGCAGAGAAUACGGUUCCAUUUUCUCAGAACUUCUCUAAACCAAUUGGUAGCAAUAUCCGUUUCUUCGAGAUCAUCCAUAGAUUUUUUGAUCGAUUGAUGGAUACUGAAAUCAUUCUAAAAGUAUACUACGUUUGCUCUUUUCUUUUCCUCUGAAAACAUGCUAUUAUAAAAUACAGCGGUGAAAUCAUUUUGGUUUUGGUAACAUGUUAUGAAUUUUUCAUAGUUCGUGGGUUUGAGAUAAUUUAGAUGCGUAAUAUUUUUUAAAGCAAAAUAAAAAAUAAAGAUUGAAGGAUUAAAAUUGAGGAUAUAUUAAUUGGCUUAAUGAAUAGUUUUUCCCUUAUUGUUGUAUGGUUAGCAAACUACAUGUUGAUCUUCGAUAUUCUAAAUGAAUGGUCAAAGAAAAGUAAGAUUCUCUUAAUUAAUCCCAGCUUCUAAUGAAAGUAAUUAUAGCAAUGGAAUUAAAAGACAGGCCAUCGGAGCUAGAGAGAAAAUAUUUUGGUCAAUUCAAUAAAAAAAAAAGGGAUUAAUUUAAAAGGGGAAGUGUGGAAUUUACUCUUUUGAUUGAGAGAGAAAAGAAAAUAAAAAAAAAAAAAGAAUAGAAAUAGUGCAAGUUGAGGUGGGGAUACUCUAAAAAAUGAAAGAAUCCAAGAAAAAAAUGGCAACGGUGACCAUUCAAAAACAUUGUCCAAUUCUUAUCCGCAUGACAUGCUAACAAACACAUGUUUCACACUGUUUUAUUAUCAUCAAAG
RNAcentral lists this long non-coding RNA (1051 nucleotides) under Durio zibethinus. RNAcentral's name for it is "long non-coding RNA (DZIB_LNC000243)". Lineage: Eukaryota; Viridiplantae; Streptophyta; Magnoliopsida; Malvales; Malvaceae. The record is from RNAcentral.